CACGUAGGGGGCGAGCGUUGUCCGGAUUUAUUGGGCGUAAAGAGCUCGUAGGCGGCUCAGUAAGUCGGGUGUGAAAUUUCAGGGCUCAACCCUGAAACGCCACCCGAUACUGCUGUGGCUAGAGUCCGGUAGGGGAGCGUGGAAUUCCUGGUGUAGCGGUGAAAUGCGCAGAUAUCAGGAGGAACACCGGUGGCGAAGGCGGGUCUCUGGGCCGAUACUGACGCUGGGGAGCGAAAGCGUGGGGAGCGAACAGG
This 254-nucleotide ribosomal RNA is filed under the name uncultured bacterium. Its description in RNAcentral is "partial 16S ribosomal RNA". It matches the Rfam family "Bacterial small subunit ribosomal RNA", at positions 524 to 776 of the family's 1533-position model. The record is from RNAcentral.